Molecule: long non-coding RNA, 3825 nt
Filed under: Nicotiana tabacum (common tobacco)
Lineage: Eukaryota; Viridiplantae; Streptophyta; Magnoliopsida; Solanales; Solanaceae
Description: long non-coding RNA (NTAB_LNC005464)
Source: RNAcentral
AACAGGAUAAAGGAAAUAUGGGAGGGUAACGCCAAGGCCCGCAAACGUCUACAGGACUACCUCAGGUCGCCUUUGUGGACUGAAAACAGCACCCUCACUGCGGUCCAAGCGCUCCGAUAUUAGUACCUGCACAUAGUGUAGAGUGUAGUAUCAGCACAACCGACCCCAUAUGUUGGUAAAUGUCUAGACUAACCUCGGCAAAGUAGUGACGAGGCUAGGACCAUACUACCAAAUAAACUUGUGCAGUUAUAUCAUAUACAGCGGAAAUAGAAGUAGAUAAUUACAGUUAAAAUUGGGUAACUUCGGGGAAUAACAAAUAACAACAGAAUAUCAAGAGAAUAUAACGAAACCAAAAUCCAAUUACUAACAAGGAUAAGGAAAACAAAUGCAGAAUUCACUUUCAUUUCACAUCUUAUUGCAGGCGUAUAAUCCGAUCCCAUUUCGUGUGUCUCGUUGCAAGUGUGUAACCCGUUCCCAUUUCAUAUAUCACAUUGCAGGCGUGCAACCCACUUCUAUUUCAUAUAUCUUGUUGCAGGCGUGCAACCCGCUCCCAUUUCACAUAUCUUGUUGUAGGCAUGCAACCCGCUCCCAUUUUACAUAUCUUGUUGCAGGCGUGCAACCCGCUCCCAUUUCACAUAUCUUGUUGCGGACGUGCAACCCGCUCUCAUUUCAUAUAUCUUGUUGCAGGCGUGCAACCCUCUCCCAUUUCUUUUAUCAACACCAAUCAUAAAAGGGUCCCGGCAAGGGAAUAAUAAUAUCAAAACAAACAUCCCAGCAAGGGAACAAUAAUAUGACAAUAACAUCCUGGCAAGGGAAAUUAAUGAUAAUAAUGUCCCGGGAUGGGAACAAUAAUGAUAAUAACAUCCCGGCAAGGGAACAAUAAUGAUAAUAACAUGUGAAGCGCAAUAAACCACAACGGAGUCAUAACAAUUACAAUACAAGACUCACGGGCAUACUUGACACUGACAUAUAGAUACUCGUCACCAUGCCUAUACAUCGUACUCCGCUAUUAACACGUAGCAAAUAAGACACGACUCCUAAUCCCUCAAGCUAAGGUUACACCAAACACUUACCUCGAUGCCAUGAACACAAUUCAAUCCUCAACUAUCACUUUACCUCUUGAUUCCACCACCAACUCGCUUGUAUCUAGCCACAAGUUACUUAAUAAUAUUAAUAAGUACUAAAUGAAUCAUUUCUAAUGCAUGGAAAUAAGUUUUCUAAAUGUUUUCCCAAAAAGUCAAAAAUUUCCCCUGGUCCCACAUGGUCAAAAUCCGAUGUUCGAACCAAAACCCGAUUACCCAUUCCCCCACGAACUCAAAUAUAUAAUUUGUUUUGAAAUCGAACCUCAAAUCGAGGUCCAAAUCCCCCAUUUUUGAAAAAACUUAGGUUCUACCCAAAACACCCAAUUUCCCCCAUGAAAAUCAUUGAUUUUGAAUUGAAAUCAUGUGAAAAGAUGUUAAUGGUUGAAGAAAACGAGUUAAAAUUGACUUACAAUCGAUUUGGAAGAAGAGUUGUCAUUGAAAAAUCGCCCAAGAAUGUUUUGGUUUUGAAAGAGUGUGAAAAAUGAAAGAUUUUCGGCUAAGUUAUAAAAUUACAGGUUGCAGAUGUCGCAAUUGCGACUAGGCUUUGCAAUUGAGAACCCAGACUUCUGCUAAGCUCACAUUUGCGAGGCGACCUUCGCAUUUGCGAAGUCACUUUUGCGAACCACAUGUCGCAUUUGCGACGACUGACCAAAAGGGGGAAACAUCGCAUUUGCGAUAAAUUCCCCGCAAUUGCAAGGAAGGCUGGUCUGGGCUAUUUUCGCAUUUGCGACAUAGCCUUCGCAUUUAUGAGCCAGGCUUCGCAAAUGCGAAUCUUGCAGGCAUGCAAUGCAACAGUUGAAAUCUGCAACUCUCCAAGUCCAAAAUUCACCCUCACGGCCUAUCCAAAACUCACCCGAGCCCUCGGGGCUCCAAACCAAUCAUGCACACCAAUCUAAAAAUAUCAUACGGACUCGCCCGUGUAUUCAAAUCAUAAAAAUAACAUCAACAACUCUGAAUUUAGCAUCAAAAUUAUGAAAUUUUGUAAGAACAUCAAAUUUCCCAAUUUCGUCAAAUAAGGUCUGAUUCAUAUCAUUUCAAGUCCGUUUCCUACCAAAUUUCACAGGUUCGACUCAAAUCAUAUAUAAGACUUGUACCGGGCUCUAGAACAAAAAUACGAGCCUGAUAACAUCAAACUUUAAACACAUUUCACUUUCAAAAACUCAUAAAUAUUCCAGAAAAUAAUUUUCUUCAAAAAUUCAUUUCUCGGGCUUGGCACCUCAAAAUUCGAUUCUGGGCAUACACCCAAGUCCCAUAUUUUCCUACGGACCCUCCGGGACCGUCAAAUCACGGGUCCGAAUCCGUUUACCCAAAAUAUUGAUCGAAGUCAACUUAAACUCAUUUAUUAGGCAAAAUUCAUCAUUUUUCACAGAUUUUCAGAUAAUGGCUUUUCGGCUACGCACCCAGACUACGCACGCAAAUCGAGGUGAGAUAGAAAGAGGUUUUUAAGGCCUCUGAAUGCAAAAUUUAUUUUUAAAAUAAGUGAUGAACUUUUGGGUCAUCACACGAUGAUUUAAAAUUAAUUGCGCCUAAAGCAAGCUACGAUGUUCAUAAUUAUCUACUUCUAAGUCGGUGAUUUGAGCUUCUCAUAAGUUCUGUCACUAUGGUUAUGAGAUGGAUUGGCAAGAAAAAUGUUCAGUUACAUUAUCCGAAACCAAAGCAAUCAAGAUAAAGGCAUUCUGUUUUGAUAGACUCAGAUAAAUUGGUCUCUUUUCCUCGGCCAAGGUAAAGGUGUUACGAUCUGAAGUGACUGUAAUCUACUUUUGUUGGAUGAAGCAAACUUAUCAUCACUGACUACAACUUUCAUGGACAAUGAGAAAGAAAUGUUAAGAAUGAACUUCUACUUUGGAAUGAUGUAUUCUGUUAACUUUAUCAUCUAUGUUCUUAUAAGAGUUCCUUAUUUUUAGCAAAAUUUACAACAACCAAAAAAACAAAGUAAAAAUAAAAAUAAAAGAGCUUCAAGUUUUAGAGUAAAUACUAAACUAAAAUUUGAAUUAAUUAGUACACAAAUGACUACUUUCAAUGCCUAUGAAGUUUUAAUUGAGCUAGGCACUAAAAAAUUCUAAAUUCCAUACCAACAAUGAUGGUAUUUCACCUCCGAGCCAUAGAUCUGCUAGACCACCUCCAUAUAUAUAAGAAAUCCAUUAUAAGUUAACAAAUAAUCUAAACCUUAACAAAUACAUACUGCUCGUUCAAACCAUAGAAUUGCCUUUUCAUGAUUGUUUCUUAUUAUUACUCAAAUUUUCAGUAUGGUUUUAGAUAUUCACCACAUUGAACUUUAAAACCAAACCCAAGCUUGCAGUCAGAAAUGAAAGAGCACUCAGUACACAUGUCAAUGAACAGCAAUUGAGAUUUCAUAUCAAUAGGACAUCCAAAUAGCAAUUACAUCAAUUGAGACCAAAAGCACAUACCUUAACAGCAGUAGUGCAACUUAUAAUAGCCAAGUAAGGAAUAAAUUCAGCAAAUUGGGGUUCAGCUACGCACAGAACAACAAAAUCUACCAGCAAAUGAGACUCUUACAGCUCAAUUAAACUUCGAAGUUUCCAGAAAAUAUCCAGCUAAGGAACUGUGAGAGAAUUAAUGAGCAUUGUCUGUGUGAGUGCGUAUUUCUGAUAUCUUUAUAGAGAGUGAGGCGUGUAUCUAUAUUAGGAAAAAGGGGGGGUAUGUUCUUGGUGAUGAUGAAAAUGGAAAAGUCCUGAAAUACCCAGAUGCGUUGUUGCUCUUUUUCUAAGGGUGAGGUCUUCUG